CAGAUUUGGACUUAUCAUUCCUGCACUCAUUUCCUCAGCCCACACCACGCUUCUGUUCUUUGGACCUUACAGUCAACUGCUUCCUGAACAUUUCUACUUAUAGCAAGCUGGUACCUCAAUUUAAGAUACCCCAAACUGACUUACCAUCAACCCCACAUUGCAAACCUGUUUCAAUUACUGUCUUUCCUACGUUGGGAACUGGAACCACCAUCCACCCAACUGAUGAGGUAGCAGGCCAGUAGAUAAGCCAAAGGGUAACAGAAUGGAGAAAACAGCAUGGCUGACAUCACAUUAGCAGCUCCACCAAAGGAAAUCAGGUCAGCAACUCCAGUGCUAUAUAUUAGACUUCGCCAGAGUAACCACCAACCAGUCCGAGGCGAAGUACUGCACAGUAAACCGGCCUGACCCAGAUUUACUCUAGGCACUGAAACACUGAGACUCUGGACUGCAGAGAGCUGCUGUUACAUAACAGCUAAUCAUGACUCCUUUUAUUUUUUUCUUCUUUAAAAAUUUAGGAUAUGCUAUGGCAACCACAGUCACAGAUGGGUAAGUACGUGGUGCAUUUUUAACCACCUCUUGGAAACAUUUUACCAGGUUCAUAAAAGGGCACUCUGAAUCAAUUAAAUGCCACCCCUCCUUAACCAAAUAAGCAAAACAUAAAAUACAGAAUAUAAUAUAGAUCUAUACUGUACUAUUGUGAAUAAAUGAAAAUUAAUAGGUGUCUUCCAAAAAAUUUGACUAUCACAUUUUGAACAUUUAGCCAGUCAUAUUAAUAAAAGGGAGAUUGAUAUUAUAAAAGAGUCUUACAAUAAACCUGACAGUUGUGCAACUAGUUAGUCAACAUUUGUGAACUUGGAUUUUCAUACAGUAUUCUUGAAGUGCUAUCUGUCUGCAUUGACAAUAACUUUCUGAAGAUCUUUAUGCGUCCUGUGGAAUGACCAGGGUCAACUGUAGAAUACCUACAUAUGGCAAAUUUUAAGGCUUCAGCUCUUUUUCCUCACUUUAAAAACAAUUUCUUACCCACAUUAGGAUGAGACAAAAUGGGGUUGUGAUUUGCCUCAAUUAAAUAAUGGCAAAAUGAAAGAAUUGAAAGUAUUAUAUUUUUAGUAGAAAAAUACCAGCUCUUUGGGGGUAAUCAACUAUUUGAGUUAUUAAAAAUAACCUCCAGCCCUGGGUGGUGUGGCUCAUUGGGUUGAACACUGGUCUGUGAACUGAAAGGUUCCCGGUUCGAUUCCCAGUCGGGGCACAUGCCUGGAUUGCCUGCCAGCUCCUCAGUAGUGCGUAUGUGAGAGGCAACCUACAGAUGUUUUUCUCCUUCUCUUUUUCUCUCCUGUUCAUUCUAAGAAAUAAAUACAAUUUAAAAAUACAAACAAAAAAACAAAAACAAAAACCUCUUGAAGGUGAUCUAAGGUUAUCUACACUUUCUGAUGCCUGGAAUGAGCUCUUGGUUUAUCCUGGCCCAACCACCUCUGUGGGCCCCCUCUCUCGGGAGGUUGUGAAUUCCUUCAAGCAGAGGGCAAAGGCCCAUCCUGUCAUCCCAGCAAGGCUUUUUCUUCCAGGUAAAUGAUAAAAUCCGGAGGCUUAGAGUGAAACACUGACUCUUUCUAAGCAUUUAAAAUUGUCUAAGAAACCCAACAAGAGUUAAAAGGUUUCUUCCCAUCAGGUUAACUUAUUUUCAAUCUAAUAUUUAUUAAAAUA
Long non-coding RNA from Phyllostomus discolor (pale spear-nosed bat), 1698 nucleotides. RefSeq lists it as uncharacterized. The record is from RefSeq and is a predicted model, not a curated record. The transcript is spliced from 2 exons. Lineage: Eukaryota; Metazoa; Chordata; Mammalia; Chiroptera; Phyllostomidae.